UUUACAAUGAAAAAAACCGAUAGGCACUCUUAUACAGGUAAGAAGUAAAUAAAGGAAAAUGAGAUUUUGGAGUUGUACCUUUUGUAUCAGGGGAGUUUAAAAGUUAAACUAUGAUGGUGUCGAGUCGACUAGAUCUUUAAGAGUAAGGGUAAUGGCAUUUAUUUAUUUUAUCUAGUAAGAGGUGAAAAGCAUGCGAUGGUUGUGAUAGCUAAUUGUUUUAUAAUUUAAAAGGUAAAGUUUUUAAAAGUCUAUAAAGUUUGAGUAUAAAAAUAACUAAGCUUUAAAUUAGUUAGGUUAGUAAAUUGUUUCAAAUAAUUAAGGUUGGUGCGUAGUAGUAGAGUUAUUUGACGAUAGCAAAAAAUAGUGAUUCUUAUAAAUAAUGAAGUUAUUGAAUAAUUAAUGAAGUGAAAAAAGGACUCAGGCUAAGUUAGAUGGUUUAACAAAAACAUUUUUGCCUGAAUAAAAGGAAAUAAAGCCUGCCCAGUGCGCUGUAAACGGCUGCAGUAUUUUGACUGUGCUAAGGUAGCGUAAUCAUUUGCUGCUUAAUUGGUAGCUAGUAUGAAUGGUUAAACUAGUUUAGUUGGUUUGUGAGCUUAAUAGGACAUUCAAGUAGGGGUAAAAAUUCUUCUGUUAGCUAGGGGACGAUAAGACCCUAAAAGCUUAACUAUAAGGGUACUUGUAGUUGUAGUAAAUAAAUGGUUUGACUGGGGCGGUGACAGCAUAUAAACUGCUGUA
Molecule: ribosomal RNA, 735 nt
Filed under: Gammarus sobaegensis
Lineage: Eukaryota; Metazoa; Arthropoda; Malacostraca; Amphipoda; Gammaridae
Description: partial large subunit ribosomal RNA
Rfam family: Archaeal large subunit ribosomal RNA (bases 419-580)
Source: RNAcentral